GGAUAGCUCAGUGAGUAGAUCAUGAGAUUCUCAAUCUCAGGGUCCUGGGUUCAAGCCCCAAGUUGGGCA
Molecule: non-coding RNA, 69 nt
Organism: Podarcis lilfordi (Lilford's wall lizard)
Lineage: Eukaryota; Metazoa; Chordata; Lepidosauria; Squamata; Lacertidae
Source: the annotation of a GenBank genome assembly